AAAUGAAUUGACGGGGGCCCGCACAAGCAGUGGAGUAUGUGGUUUAAUUCGAAGCAACGCGAAGAACCUUACCAGGUCUUGACAUCCCAAGAAUUCUGUAGAGAUACGGGAGUGCCUUCGGGAGCUUGGAGACAGGUGGUGCAUGGUUGUCGUCAGCUCGUGUCGUGAGAUGUUGGGUUAAGUCCCGCAACGAGCGCAACCCUUACGGUUAGUUGCUACGCAAGAGCACUCUAGCCGGACUGCCGUUGACAAAACGGAGGAAGGUGGGGACGACGUCAAAUCAUCAUGCCCCUUAUGGCCUGGGCUACACACGUACUACAAUGGCGAUUAACAGCGGGGAGCAAGACAGCGAUGUGGAGCAAAUCCCAAAAAAUCGUCUCAGUUCGGAUUGCAGGCUGCAACUCGCCUGCAUGAAGUCGGAAUUGCUAGUAAUCGCAGAUCAGCAUGCUGCGGUGAAUACGUUCCCGGGCCUUGUACACACCGCCCGU
This 488-nucleotide ribosomal RNA is filed under the name uncultured bacterium. RNAcentral describes it as "bacterial SSU rRNA". It matches the Rfam family "Bacterial small subunit ribosomal RNA", at positions 903 to 1397 of the family's 1533-position model. The record is from RNAcentral.